GCCGGGUUAGCUCAGUGGUAGAGCGAAGCACUUGUAAUGCUUAGGUCGUGGGUUCGACUCCCGCACUCGGCU
Molecule: transfer RNA, 72 nt
Filed under: Giardia muris
Lineage: Eukaryota; Fornicata; Diplomonadida; Hexamitidae
Rfam family: tRNA
About the family: Transfer RNA (tRNA) molecules are approximately 80 nucleotides in length. Their secondary structure includes four short double-helical elements and three loops (D, anti-codon, and T loops).
Source: Rfam by way of RNAcentral